Molecule: ribosomal RNA, 253 nt
Filed under: uncultured bacterium
Lineage: Bacteria
Description: partial 16S ribosomal RNA
Rfam family: Bacterial small subunit ribosomal RNA
Source: RNAcentral
UACGGAGGGAGCUAGCGUUGUUCGGAAUUACUGGGCGUAAAGCGCACGUAGGCGGCUUUGUAAGUUAGAGGUGAAAGCCCGGGGCUCAACUCCGGAACUGCCUUUAAGACUGCAUCGCUUGAAUCCAGGAGAGGUGAGUGGAAUUCCGAGUGUAGAGGUGAAAUUCGUAGAUAUUCGGAAGAACACCUGCGGCGAAGGCGGGUUGCUGGGCCGACACUGACGCUGAGGCGCGAAAGCCAGGGGAGCGAACGGG